CGGGAGCUUUCCCCGGGCGU
RNAcentral lists this small RNA (20 nucleotides) under Arabidopsis thaliana (thale cress). Its description in RNAcentral is "Ath_wt_08236". Lineage: Eukaryota; Viridiplantae; Streptophyta; Magnoliopsida; Brassicales; Brassicaceae. The record is from RNAcentral.